GACGAACGCUGGCGGCGUGCCUAAUACAUGCAAGUAGAACGCUGAAGGAGGAGCUUGCUUCUCUGGAUGAGUUGCGAACGGGUGAGUAACGCGUAGGUAACCUGCCUUGUAGCGGGGGAUAACUAUUGGAAACGAUAGCUAAUACCGCAUAAUAGUAGAUGUUGCAUGACAUUUUCUUAAAAGUUUCAAUUGCAUCACUACCAGAUGGCCCUGCGUUGUAUUAGCUAGUUGGUGGGGUAACGGCUCACCAAGGCGACGAUACAUAGCCGACCUGAGAGGGUGAUCGGCCACACUGGGACGGGGACACGGCCCAGACUCCUACGGGAGGCAGCAGUAGGGAAUCUUCGGCAAUGGACGGAAGUCUGACCGAGUAACGCCGCGUGAGUGAAGAAGGGUUUCGGAUCGUAAAGAUCGGUUGUAAGAGAAGAACGAGUGUGAGAGUGGAAAGUUCACACUGUGACGGUAUCUUAACAGAAAGGGACGGCUAACUACGUG
RNAcentral lists this ribosomal RNA (495 nucleotides) under uncultured bacterium. RNAcentral's name for it is "partial 16S ribosomal RNA". It matches the Rfam family "Bacterial small subunit ribosomal RNA", at positions 28 to 507 of the family's 1533-position model. The record is from RNAcentral.